Long non-coding RNA from Acanthochromis polyacanthus (spiny chromis), 1257 nucleotides. RefSeq lists it as uncharacterized. The transcript is spliced from 2 exons. NCBI's taxonomy places the organism in Eukaryota, Metazoa, Chordata, Actinopteri, Pomacentridae. The record is from RefSeq and is a predicted model, not a curated record.
CAGGCCACUAGGGGGAGCCGAGCAUACGGAAGGGACUGAUCUUUUAUACCGACAGGAAAUACCUAGGAGGAAGUUGCAAAGAAGACAGCGGGAUAAGAAAGUUUGCAAACACUUGGAGAGGAGAAUAAAAAGGUAUGUUUUCCCUUACGUGUUUUUUAAACACUCGGCCCUAGUCUCUUACAGUAUUAUCCAACAGCAGCAAAUUUACGUAGCAAAUAUUAGCGUGCGUCUGUCUAGCAGACCGUUGCUAAGGACCCCCAUCAGAACAGCUCCCCCUAGUGGCCUGGCGACCUUCCGUGAAUUUGCAGCGUCUUUCUCUUGCAGUUGUUUCGGGGUUUGUAUGCAGCAUUUCCCUUUUGCAUUUGUUUUGUCGGUUUGUGUGUUUUUGCUUUUGCAGCAUUUCUGUGAAUGCAUCGUUUGCCCUUGUCGGCCACCGUAGAUUCAACACCACAGAGGACACAUUUUUAUAAUUUUCAAAAAUUAAUCUGAGGGCCACUUCAAGUGAGGGCAUGAGCCGUGUGCGGCCCCUGGACUGCUGGUUGCCCAUACUAUUCAGCUUCAAUAUUAGCUGCAAGUAAUGACAGUCAUAACUGAAAGUAAAUUUAACUUUUUGUUUUUGCUUUGUUGAAAUUCCAGAAUCAUAUUGUUGAAAGGAUGUGGCCAGAAGUCAACAAAAGAGUGAACUACCCACUGAAAACGGCUCUCGUCCAGCUCAUAGACCAGGAGGAACUUGACAUGGAGGACAACUUGACACGAUACUGUGUCUCCACACUUACAUGUCAGGUAGCAGAGAUUGGACUUGGUCGGAUGGUGCAGUCCUGGAAUGCACACAGGAUUCAAGGAAAAGGUUUUCCAAAUCAACUGGCUCUGGGUGGAUGUCCAAAGAAACUGGCGGCAGAUUGUUUGCCAGAGGCUGCAGAAGCUGGACAAGCUUACCACCAGGAAGUGGGGUCAUCGCUGACACAAGCUUCCCUUUUUGGGAGAAACCCAUUCCCCACAGGUGAACAACAAACAGCAGCUGAAAAUAAAUUUGCACAGCAAUACUUGGACAUUUCUGUGCUUUUCAACAAUUCGGUGUACAACAAUCCGACCAGUUUUCAAAGCAGGAUCAAGGACCUCAUCAAUAUUGUGAAAAGAUAUGUGUAGAGAGAGCUGAAACGUCAUCGACAUUUUUGUGACAUAAUGUUAUUCAUAUAUUUUUCUUUUUUCUGACUUUGUUCUUGUUAUUCUUGUAUUAAAGACUGUUUUUUUCACCAG